GUGGUUGCUGUGAUGAGGCUGUAUAUGUGGACUAGAGUUUCUGAUCUCUGGGUUUUUCUCAAAACCAGGAUUUGAAGACCACCCCUUGGCUGUCUGAGCUCAU
This 103-nucleotide small nucleolar RNA is filed under the name Ananas comosus (pineapple). RNAcentral describes it as "Small nucleolar RNA Z157/R69/R10". It matches the Rfam family "Small nucleolar RNA Z157/R69/R10". From Rfam's summary of the family: Z157, R69 and R10 are members of the C/D class of snoRNA which contain the C (UGAUGA) and D (CUGA) box motifs. Most of the members of the box C/D family function in directing site-specific 2'-O-methylation of substrate RNAs. Lineage: Eukaryota; Viridiplantae; Streptophyta; Magnoliopsida; Poales; Bromeliaceae. The record is from Rfam by way of RNAcentral.